AAUUUUUCAGCUCGUUUAAUAAACGAGCCGAACACGAGCUAGGAUCAGCUUGCUCGUGUUCGGCUCGAUAACAGCUCGAUUAUAUUUAUUUUAUAUGAAUAUAAUUUAUUUAUUAUAUAUAUAUAUAAUUAUAUUUGUAUUAUAAAUAUAUAAUACAGAUUAUUAAUUUUAAAUUUUUAGCCCAACAUUUUUUUAAAAAACUCAACUUAUUUAUAAAAGAGGCCCAUAGGCCCAUUUAUAUUUAGAAUUCUUCUUUCUACUCAUGGCCCAUAGCUCAUGAAAUAAAUUUCACACAUUUUCUUUCUAACCCUAAUUACCUUUUCCCACUUUUUGUUCACACAGCCGCCUCUCUCUUUCUCUCUCUCUCAGUCUCGCACAGGCACAACCAUGAGCCACCUCUCUUUUUUUCUCUCGCUCUCAGUCUCUCACGCAACCACACCGCCAACCGUAGUUGCCUUUGCCAUUCGCACACCCUCGGGAGCGUAUUCUUCGCCGUUCGCAAACCCACGGCAGCGAACUUCGACGGCGAUGCUUUCAACAGGUUCAUUCAAUUGAUCUUUAUCUUUUUUUUCUUAUGAUUUU
This 582-nucleotide long non-coding RNA is filed under the name Ananas comosus (pineapple). Its description in RNAcentral is "long non-coding RNA (ACOM_LNC035678)". Lineage: Eukaryota; Viridiplantae; Streptophyta; Magnoliopsida; Poales; Bromeliaceae. The record is from RNAcentral.